This 257-nucleotide ribosomal RNA is filed under the name uncultured bacterium. RNAcentral describes it as "partial 16S ribosomal RNA". It matches the Rfam family "Bacterial small subunit ribosomal RNA", at positions 793 to 1055 of the family's 1533-position model. The record is from RNAcentral.
GUCCACGCCGUAAACGAUGAUCACUCGUGAUUGGCGAUAUACGGUCAGUCACCUAGCGAAAGCGUUAAGUGAUCCACCUGGGGAGUACGAUCGCAAGAUUGAAACUCAAAGGAAUUGACGGGGGCCCGCACAAGCGGUGGAGCAUGUGGUUUAAUUCGAUGAUACGCGAGGAACCUUACCAGGGCUCGAACGCACGUUGACAGGGGUGGAAACAUCCUCUUCUUCGGACAGCGUGCGAGGUGCUGCAUGGCUGUCGU